RNAcentral lists this small nucleolar RNA (135 nucleotides) under Microcebus murinus (gray mouse lemur). RNAcentral describes it as "Small nucleolar RNA SNORA70 (ENSMICG00000033213.2)". It matches the Rfam family "Small nucleolar RNA SNORA70". Rfam says of the family: snoRNA U70 seems to be exclusive to mammals and is a member of the H/ACA class of snoRNA which contain H (ANANNA) and ACA box motifs. H/ACA box snoRNAs are involved in the conversion of uridines to pseudouridines (5-ribosyluracil) a constituent of structural RNAs (transfer, ribosomal, small nuclear, and small nucleolar). The record is from Rfam by way of RNAcentral. Lineage: Eukaryota; Metazoa; Chordata; Mammalia; Primates; Cheirogaleidae.
UUGCAGCCUAGUAGGCCAACUGUGCUGCCUUCAUCUUGAGCACCUGGUGUGCAAUGGCUGCAAACAGCAUCCUCCUUGGUAGAGUGUGCAGCCUGUUGUUUGUAUGGAUUAUCCUGAGAGACCUUAAAGACAACC